GCUCUCGUAGUUCAAUGGAUAGAACGACCGCCUUCUAAGCCGUAGAUCCAAGUUCGAUUCUUGGCGAGGGUA
RNAcentral lists this transfer RNA (72 nucleotides) under candidate division SR1 bacterium CG_4_9_14_3_um_filter_40_9. Its description in RNAcentral is "tRNA-Arg". It matches the Rfam family "tRNA". Rfam says of the family: Transfer RNA (tRNA) molecules are approximately 80 nucleotides in length. Their secondary structure includes four short double-helical elements and three loops (D, anti-codon, and T loops). Lineage: Bacteria; Candidatus Absconditibacteriota. The record is from RNAcentral.